Molecule: ribosomal RNA, 443 nt
Filed under: uncultured bacterium
Lineage: Bacteria
Description: partial 16S ribosomal RNA
Rfam family: Bacterial small subunit ribosomal RNA
Source: RNAcentral
CCUACGGGAGGCAGCAGUGGGGAAUAUUGGGCAAUGGAGGCAACUCUGACCCAGCAACGCCGCGUGAAUGAUGAAGGUCUUCGGAUUGUAAAGUUCUGUGAUGGGGGAUGAACACAAUGACGGUACCCCAAUAGCAAGCCCCGGCUAACUACGUGCCAGCAGCCGCGGUAAUACGUAGGUGGCAAGCGUUUUCCGGAAUGACUGGGCGAAAAGGGUGCGUAGGUGGUUUAGUAAGUUGGCGGUGUAAUUCCGGGGCUCAACCUCGGCGCUACCGCCAAAACUAUUAGACUAGAGUGCAGGAGGGGUGAGUGGAAUUCCUAGUGUAGCGGUGGAAUGCGUAGAGAUUAGGAGGAACAUCAGGGGCGAAGGCGACUUACUGGACGGUAACUGACACUGAGGCACGAAAGCGUGGGGAGCAAACAGGAUUAGAUACCCGAGUAGUC